UACGUAGGCAGCGAGCGUUGUUCGGAAUUACUGGGCGUAAAGAGCUCGUAGGCGGCCUGUUGCGUCCGCUGUGAAAGCCCGGGGCUUAACCCCGGGUCGGCAGUGGAUACGGGCAGGCUAGAGGUAGGUAGGGGAGAAUGGAAUUCCCGGUGUAGCGGUGAAAUGCGCAGAUAUCGGGAGGAACACCGGUGGCGAAGGCGGUUCUCUGGGCCUUACCUGACGCUGAGGAGCGAAAGCGUGGGGAGCGAACAGG
RNAcentral lists this ribosomal RNA (253 nucleotides) under uncultured bacterium. RNAcentral describes it as "partial 16S ribosomal RNA". It matches the Rfam family "Bacterial small subunit ribosomal RNA", at positions 524 to 776 of the family's 1533-position model. The record is from RNAcentral.